CCAUUUUUAAAAUAUGAAGAAUAUUCUUUUUUUGUUUGCUUGUUUUUUGAGAUGAACUCUUGCUCUGUCACCCAGUCUGGAGUGGAGUGGCGCAAUCUCGUCUCACUGCAACCUCUGCCUCCCGGGUUCAAGCAACUCUCCUGCCUCAGCUUCCCAAGUAGCUGGGACUACAAGUGUGCACCACCAUGACUGGCUAAUUUUUUUUUUUUUUUGUAUUUUUAGUAGAAACAGGAUUUUGCCACAUUGGCCAGACCGGUCUCGAAUUCCUGACCUCAGACCAUCCACCCGCCUCGGCCUCCCAAAGUGCUGGGAUUACAGGCGUGAGCCCCGUGCCUGGCCAAAAUGUGAAGAACAUUCUUAGCUCGUGGGCCAUGGAGAAACAGGUGGCAGCUGGAUUUGGCCUAUGGGCAAUAGGUUGCCCGUGCUAGCUCCCAAUUCUUCAGACACUCCUGGCAGCAGGUGAACUGCACCUCCUGGAGAUACCAGCGCCCCAGAGGCUCAACCCCAUCACAAUGCAUCCUCAUUCUGUGGUCUGAACAUGGGCCAGGCAAGGCUGAGCCUGGAGGCUCUGGUGGCCCCACUUCUUCUCUUCUGUCCCUCCAGCCCUGAGAAGGAACUCCUGUAGUUACCAUAUCUGGUCACUGCAGCAUCUCCAUUUGCCCUUCCAACCCUCCAACACUGGAGUAGUCAAUUCCCUGAAUACAUCCCUUCUGUAAGAAAUGCCUUGCAUGGAAUCGUUUUCCUGCUUGGACUCUGACUGACACAGAAAUCCUUCCAUUUUAGGGAGGGGAAGAAGAAAAGGAAGCCAAAAGGGAGAAGUCAAAGACUGAAGAGGCAAAUUAGGAGUGUCCCCACACUGAAGGGAAAAGAAGCUCAGGAAGAAGGUCCUGGGGAGCAGCAGUUGCCACUGCUGAGAGGGACCAGACCUACCUUACAAGAAAUGCUAAAGGGAGUUCUUCAUUUGAAAGAAGAAACACUAAUGUGAAGAAAAUUUGUUAAGGUAUAAAACCCAUUGGGAAAAUUAAGUACAUAGACAAACCCAAAACACUAAUACUGUAAAUGUGGUGUGCUACCCACUCAUAACUCUAAUAUGAAGCCCGAAAGACAAGUCUAUCAAAAACAAUGAUACCUACAGCACCCUGUUAAGAGACAGGCAUUAUAGGCCGGGCGCGGUGUCUCACGCCUGUAAUCCCAGCACUGUGGGAGGCAGAGGCGGGUGGAUCACCUGAGGUCGGGAGUUCAAGACCAUCCUGACCAACAUGGAGAAACCCCGUCUCUACUAAAAGUACAAAAAUUAGCUGGGCAUGGUGGCGCAUGCCUGUAAUCCCAGCUACUCAGGAGGCUGACAUGGGAGAAUCGCUUGAACCUGGGAGGCGGAGGUUGCGUUAAGCCAAGAUCCUGCCAUUGCACUCCAGCCUGGGCAGCAAGAGUGAAACUCCAU
RNAcentral lists this long non-coding RNA (1441 nucleotides) under Homo sapiens (human). RNAcentral describes it as "HSALNT0208299". The record is from RNAcentral. Lineage: Eukaryota; Metazoa; Chordata; Mammalia; Primates; Hominidae.